Molecule: long non-coding RNA, 2549 nt
Organism: Ziziphus jujuba (common jujube)
Lineage: Eukaryota; Viridiplantae; Streptophyta; Magnoliopsida; Rosales; Rhamnaceae
Exons: 2
Source: RefSeq, a predicted model, not a curated record
CACCAUUCUUUCUUUUUCUUUUUCUUUUUCUUUUUCUUUUCUUUUUUCCCUUCUUCUUCCCCGAAACACACACACACACACGCAGCUUUUCUUUCUUCUCUCUCGACCGUCCCUCUCUCUCCUGUAUUUCAAAUUCCGGCCACCCAUAGCCCUCACGCGCCAGCCACCAAGGAAGCCCGCCACCUCGCGAGCUUGGCCACCAAGUUUCACGGCCAGCCGCCGCCGGACGCGCGCCGAUCGGGCCGGAGAAGCCGCCGGCCGGCCAAGUUUCUCUCUCCUCUUUUCUUGUGUUUUUCGGCCAGCCCACUCUCAAUUGAGCCUCCUAUCUCCCUAUUUUGGGUCCUCUGAAUCCAAAAAUGGCCUCCAAUCCCAGAAAUUCGAAGCGGUUUGCGAGAUAUGGGGAAGUGAACACCGGCCGAAACUUUCCGACCAAAUUCCGGCCACCUCCGGCGGAAUUGGGGUCGACGGAGACCGGAUUGGUGAUCCUCGUUCCAUGAGCUUCGAUUCGGAUCACCGGUGAGUCGUAGAAUUGAUCCCGUGGUGGAUCUUGGAUUAAUUGCGUGUUCCAGGUGAAUGACCCACCUUCAAAAAUUAUUUUGGGCAAUUAAUUAAAUUUAAUUGAUAUUUAAUUUAGUAAUUAAUUAUGCUCAUGUGGUGUGGUUUAAUUAUGGUUUUAAUGUGGUUUAAUUUAAUUUAUUUGUUAUGCAUGAGCAAUGUAUGUUUCGGUAUUAAUUUUACGUGGUUUCAAAUGUGAUUUCUCGGGCAUAAUUGGGUUAAAUAUUUUAUGAAAAUAUUUGGUUAAAUUUUAUAAAUUAUGCCCGCGGUAUUUUUAUGGUUGCAUUUUGUAUUUCGAGAAAAUUGUGGUUUGUUGUUAUCGCUGUUUCGUACCGGGUGAUUGGAUAAAAUAUGUGGGAUGGUGUUUUGUGAAAUUUUGGUAUACUUCCCACGGUGGUUUUUGGAAAAACGGUACGGUUGGUUGUUUAUGUUUAUUUUUAGACGCACUCAUACAGUAUUGGUGUUCUGGUGUAUGGUGUAUGGACACGUGGUUUAGCACGCGGUUAUUAUAUGGUUUAGCGUGCGGUUAUUACUUCACCCGUGAGUUGCCAUUGGACCGUGGGCAGGCAAGGUUAUUGUUGCGCACAGCCGCCCCCCUCCUUGGCCGGGUGAUGGUUUUUUUAGCAGUCGGUACUGUUGGGACGCCGAAGUGACCACUGCAGGUUUCUCUCUUUAAUCUCCCGCCAGUCGGUGCUCGGGACGCUGGAUAUCGGAGGGCAUCACCGGUAUAUGGUGUGGUGCGUCAGGUGUAAUUGUCGGUGUAAAUUGCAAUUAAAGUUUAAAACCCCAAAGGUGUUCUAAAAUUUAUUUAUUAUAAUUUAUUACAGUUUAAUUAUAUAUUUGGGGUAUUUAUUUAUUUAAUUGUUGUUUGUUAAAUUAUUUAAUCCCUUGAUUUUCGGGAGGUAUGCAUACUGGGUUUUGCGAAAAGGUUUUAAAAAGGGGAACUUUUCCAACUGAGAGAAUUGUAAGGGUUUUGAGAGAAAUUAUUAUUUUCCAAUUAAUUAUUAUCUAUCUACUGUAUUACUGUGGUAUUAUAUUGUAUAGUAGAUAGGGUCACUCACUGAGAUGAUUAGCAUCUCACACUCUUAAAUUCCGUUCCCCUAGGUCCAGGUUGGAGAUGUUGAUUGUCCGGGGCGAGCCCAACGUCUCAGUUCGUUGCCGAAGGUUCAAGAAGUUUUUCUUCCCUUUUUCCUCUCUAUCUUAUAUUGUUUCCGUAUCUGUCAUUUUAUAAAUUCCGCAUGUAUCUGUAUAAUGCUCUGUAUACUGUAUUGGACGUGUGGUUGUUAUUUAUGCACUGGGUUGCCGCUGUUUUCUUUUGGAGUGCUGCAAUUUGUGGAAUCAAUUUGUAGUUUGUGGGAGGAAUAAGGGGAUGUUUUUAGAAGUGUGUUUUCAGUGCAGGUAGUUUGUGGUAAGUAAAUCCCUUAGGGGAGGCUCUGCCGGAUUUUCCAUUGGAGGGUUCGGUAGGGUUUCCCUGGGAUCAGGGCUGUCUAGGGUUCCGGGGAAGGAAUUCUGGACGGGUCCUGACAGUCUGUAACGGCCCAAACCACCCGCAUCAGGAUAUUGUCCUCUUUGGCCCAGGGUUCACACCCUCUCUCCCCCCUGGCCUCAAGGUUUUGCUCACAAAACGCGUCCUGAAGGGAGAGGUAUCCACAGCCUUAUAAAGACCGCUUCGUGCCCCUCUCCAACCGAUGUGGGAUGUUACAAUCCUCCCCCCUUGGGGCCCAGCGUCCUCGCUGGCACACUGAUCUGGGUACUGGCUCUGAUACCACUGUAACGGCCCAGACCACCCGCAUCAGGAUAUUGUCCUCUUUGGCCCAGGGUUCACACCCUCUCUCCCCCCUGGCCUCAAGGUUUUGCUCACAAAACGCGUCCUGAAGGGAGAGGUAUCCACAGCCUUAUAAAGACCGCUUCGUGCCCCUCUCCAACCGAUGUGGGAUGUUACAUAUACAUAUCUUUACUUGAUUAUCUAAUAAAUUAUUUCCCAUUUCUAUGAA